UACGAACUGUGCAAACGUUAUUCGGAAUCACUGGGCUUACAGGGUGCGUAGGCGGCUUGUUAAGUAGGGUGUGAAAGCCCCCGGCUCAACCGGGGAAUUGCGCCCUAAACUGGCGAGCUGGAGUGAGAUAGGGGUGUGUGGAACUUCAGGUGGAGCGGUGAAAUGUGUUGAUAUCGGAAGGAACGCCGGUGGCGAAAGCGACACACUGGAUCUUGUCUGACGCUGAGGCACGAAAGCCAGGGGAGCGAACGGG
RNAcentral lists this ribosomal RNA (253 nucleotides) under uncultured bacterium. RNAcentral describes it as "partial 16S ribosomal RNA". It matches the Rfam family "Bacterial small subunit ribosomal RNA", at positions 524 to 776 of the family's 1533-position model. The record is from RNAcentral.